GUGAAAGUUCUUUUGUAUACUCCUUAAUGAAUCUAUGGAAAUGUGGAUGGCCAACACCUUGGCAACUCCAAAACAUUAAUUUUGUAUCCAUAAAUAACAAAUGAGAGAAAAGAUAAAACACACCCAUAGGGCAAGGAAGAGAACCAAUCCAUAUGCUUCUCAUUCCGACUAUCUUCAACAUCAAUCGUCUCCAUCAAAAUGUUGUCCUAAACAACCAUAGAAACAUGGCUUGAAUCUCUUUUUAUUCUUGAUAUAAUUUCCUCCAUAGCUGUCAUUACCUCCACCAUUAUGUGUUAAGACCUUGAAGCCCCUACAUCCGGCGGUUUUCGCGAUCGAGGAACAUCCAUGUAUAAAGGCUCUUGACCUGUCUUCUUACUUGUUAUGUCCUUCGGUUUUGAUAAUUCCAAAACUACGCUUGAUUCCCCAAUAUUCCUUUUCUUUCUGUGAACUGAAUCAAAAUUUU
This 463-nucleotide long non-coding RNA is filed under the name Gossypium barbadense (sea-island cotton). Its description in RNAcentral is "long non-coding RNA (GBAR_LNC014941)". The record is from RNAcentral. Lineage: Eukaryota; Viridiplantae; Streptophyta; Magnoliopsida; Malvales; Malvaceae.